This 253-nucleotide ribosomal RNA is filed under the name uncultured bacterium. Its description in RNAcentral is "partial 16S ribosomal RNA". It matches the Rfam family "Bacterial small subunit ribosomal RNA", at positions 524 to 776 of the family's 1533-position model. The record is from RNAcentral.
UACGUAGGGGGCAAGCGUUGUCCGGAUUUACUGGGCGUAAAGAGCGUGUAGGCGGCCACGCAGGUCCGUUGUGAAAACUGGAGGCUCAACCUCCAGCUGUCGACGGAAACCGUAUGGCUAGAGUCCGGAAGAGGAGAGUGGAAUUCCUGGUGUAGCGGUGAAAUGCGCAGAUAUCAGGAAGAACACCAAUGGCGAAGGCAGCCCUCUGGGACGGUACUGACGCUGAGACGCGAAAGCGUGGGGAGCGAACAGG